GACGUAGGGCGCGAGCGUUUGUCCGGAUUUAUUGGGCGUAAAGAGCUCGUAGGCGGCUUGUUGCGUCAGCUGUGAAAACCCGGGGCUCAACCCCGGGCCUGCAUUCGAUACGGGCAGACUAGAGUUCGGUAGGGGAGUCUGGAAUUCCUGGUGUAGCGGUGAAAUGCGCAGAUAUCAGGAGGAACACCGGUGGCGAAGGCGGGACUCUGGGCCGAUACUGACGCUGAGGAGCGAAAGCGUGGGGAGCAAACAGG
RNAcentral lists this ribosomal RNA (254 nucleotides) under uncultured bacterium. RNAcentral describes it as "partial 16S ribosomal RNA". It matches the Rfam family "Bacterial small subunit ribosomal RNA", at positions 524 to 776 of the family's 1533-position model. The record is from RNAcentral.